AACGACUCUCGGCAACGGAUAUCUCGGCUCACGCAUCGAUGAAGAACGUAGCAAAAUGCGAUACUUGGUGUGAAUUGCAGAAUCCCGUGAACCAUCGAGUUUUUGAACGCAAGUCGCGCCCGAAGCCAUUUGGCCGAGGGCACGUCUGCCAGGGCGUCAC
RNAcentral lists this ribosomal RNA (160 nucleotides) under Artemisia indica var. maximowiczii. RNAcentral's name for it is "5.8S ribosomal RNA". It matches the Rfam family "5.8S ribosomal RNA". From Rfam's summary of the family: 5.8S ribosomal RNA (5.8S rRNA) is a component of the large subunit of the eukaryotic ribosome. Lineage: Eukaryota; Viridiplantae; Streptophyta; Magnoliopsida; Asterales; Asteraceae. The record is from RNAcentral.